UUGAACACGAUGACGGAAAAGAGUACGUUAUACUGAUUGUGUUAAGAGAGAGGUUUCAUGGCUGAAAAAACCUUCACGAUUGAUAACGGAAAGCUAUUCCAGAGUGCAGUUAAUCCCUGCCGUUCACUACGUUAUAGUGCUAAGAGAUAAAAAGUGUUGCUUGAUACUUUUUAUAAAUUAGGGUGGUACCACGAAAACGAAUUGACAGUUCUCGUCCCUUUC
This 222-nucleotide non-coding RNA is filed under the name Kurthia sp. Its description in RNAcentral is "T-box sequence". It matches the Rfam family "T-box leader". From Rfam's summary of the family: Uncharged tRNA acts as the effector for transcription antitermination of genes in the T-box leader family. T-boxes are found upstream of many aminoacyl-tRNA synthetase genes and some amino acid biosynthetic genes usually in Gram-positive bacteria. Lineage: Bacteria; Bacillati; Bacillota; Bacilli; Caryophanales; Caryophanaceae. The record is from RNAcentral.